GGAUAACGUUUGGAAACGAAUGCUAAUACCGCAUGAUAUUAUUGAGCUGCAUGGCUUGAUAAUCAAAGGAGCAAUCCGCUGAAAGAUGGGCUCGCGUCCGAUUAGGUAGUUGGCGGGGCAACGGCCCACCAAGCCGACGAUCGGUAGCCGGACUGAGAGGUUGAACGGCCACAUUGGGACUGAGACACGGCCCAGACUCCUACGGGAGGCAGCAGUGAGGGAUAUUGGUCAAUGGGGGAAACCCUGAACCAGCAACGCCGCGUGAGGGAAGACGGUUUUCGGAUUGUAAACCUCUGUCCUCUGUGAAGAUAAUGACGGUAGCAGAGGAGGAAGCUCCGGCUAACUACGUGCCAGCAGCCGCAGUAAUACGUAGGGAGCAAGCGUUGUCCGGAUUUACUGGGUGUAAAGGGUGCGUAGGCGGCUUUGCAAGUCAGAAGUGAAAUCCAUGGGCUUAACCCAUGAACUGCUUUUGAAACUGCAGAGCUUGAGUGGAGUAGAGGUAGGCGGAAUUCCCGGUGUAGCGGUGAAAUGCGUAGAGAUCGGGAGGAACACCAGUGGCGAAGGCGGCCUGCUGGGCUCUAACUGACGCUGAGGCACGAAAGCGUGGGUAGCAAACAGGAUUAGAUACCCUGGUAGUCCACGCUGUAAACGAUGAUUACUAGGUGUGGGUGGACUGACCCCAUCCGUGCCGGAG
Molecule: ribosomal RNA, 694 nt
Filed under: uncultured bacterium
Lineage: Bacteria
Description: bacterial SSU rRNA
Rfam family: Bacterial small subunit ribosomal RNA
Source: RNAcentral